This 399-nucleotide ribosomal RNA is filed under the name uncultured bacterium. RNAcentral's name for it is "bacterial SSU rRNA". It matches the Rfam family "Bacterial small subunit ribosomal RNA", at positions 358 to 773 of the family's 1533-position model. The record is from RNAcentral.
GGAAUCUUGGACAAUGGGGGCAACCCUGAUCCAGCGACGCCGCGUGGGUGAUGAAGGCCUUCGGGUUGUAAAGCCCUUUCACCGGGGACGAUGAUGACGGUACCCGGCGAAGAAGCACCGGCUAACUCCGUGCCAGCAGCCGCGGUAAGACGGAGGGCGCGAGCGUUGUUCGGAAUCACUGGGCGUAAAGCGCGCGCAGGCGGGACUAGCAAGUCGGAAGUGAAAUCUUGGGGCUCAACUCCGAGGCUGCUUCCGAAACUGCGGACCUGGAGACUGGUAGAGGUGGGUGGAAUUCCCGGUGUAGCGGUGGAAUGCGUAGAGAUCGGGAAGAACACCGGUGGCGAAGGCGGCCCACUGGGCCAGUUCUGACGCUGAGGCGCGAAAGCGUGGGGAGCAAAC